Molecule: unclassified non-coding RNA, 240 nt
Filed under: plant metagenome
Description: partial contains small subunit ribosomal RNA, internal transcribed spacer 1, and 5.8S ribosomal RNA
Source: RNAcentral
UUUCCGUAGGUGAACCUGCGGAAGGAUCAUUACCGAGUGAGGGUCUCUCAGGCCCGACCUCCCACCCUGUGUCUUUGUGACCUUGUUGCUCUGGCGGGCCGGCCUCGAUGGGAGGCUGCCGGAAGCCCACCGCUUUGUGCCCGUGCCCGUCAGUAGCCUCCUUAAAUUCUUCAUAAAACUGUCUUCUGAUUUAAUGGAUAUAAUGAAAAAAAACUUUCAACAACGGAUCUCUUGGUUCUG